AAUAGAUACCCGGGUAGUCCACGCCGUAAACGAUGAGUGCUAGGUGUUAGGGGGGGCACCACCCCUUAGUGCCGAAGUUAACGCAUUAAGCACUCCGCCUGGGGGAGUACGGCCGCAAGGCUGAAACUCAAAGGAAUUGACGGGGGCCCGCACAAGCAGUGGAGCAUGUGGUUUAAUUCGAAGCAACGCGAAGAACCUUACCAGGACUUGACAUCCCGGAUGACCCCCUCUAGAGAUAGAGGCUUCUCGUUCGGAGACAUCGGUGACAGGUGGUGCAUGGUUGUCGUCAGCUCGUGUCGUGAGAUGUUGGGUUAAGUCCCGCAACGAGCGCAACCCUUGUCCUUAGUUGCCAGCAUUCAGUUGGGCUACUCUAGGGAGACUGCCGGUGACGAAACCGGAGGAAGGUGGGGAUGACGUCAAAUCAUCAUGCCCCCUAUGUCCUGGGCUACACACGUGCUACAAUGGUUGGUACAGAGGGAUGCGAGCCGUGAGGUGAGCCAAUCCCAUAAAACCAUCUCAGUUCGGAUUGC
This 530-nucleotide ribosomal RNA is filed under the name uncultured bacterium. RNAcentral's name for it is "bacterial SSU rRNA". It matches the Rfam family "Bacterial small subunit ribosomal RNA", at positions 777 to 1301 of the family's 1533-position model. The record is from RNAcentral.